Molecule: transfer RNA, 75 nt
Filed under: soil metagenome
Also listed under: 1 other name
Rfam family: tRNA
About the family: Transfer RNA (tRNA) molecules are approximately 80 nucleotides in length. Their secondary structure includes four short double-helical elements and three loops (D, anti-codon, and T loops).
Source: RNAcentral
UCCCCCGUGGUCUAGAGGCAGGACGCCGGCCUUUGGAGCCGUGAGGCGCACGUUCGAACCGUGCCGGGGGAGCCA